AAAAGCCUCCCCCACACCAUGAUAGAGACAGAUCCACAGAUGUAGCGAUAGAUGUGUGCGUAUACAUACACACGCGUGUUCUCCCCACAACAAGAUUUCUAGCUGUCUCUCUCUGCCGUCUCCCGUGCUGCUCGGGCGGCCUGGGCUUUCCGUUGCACGGUCCCUUUAGGCUGGCCCUCGGGCCGCCAGGUGGGCCGGAUGCGUCACCUGGGGCAUCCUUUCCCGCUGCCCCGCUCUGGGGCCGCCUCCCGGGACUCGCCGGGCGCGGGCUCGGGGCGCCGCCGGCAGAGCCCGCGAGCUCGUCACUUCCCUUGCAUCCCCGGGCCACGGUUCCCAGGCGGGGCGGAAGUCCUCCUCCGCCCUGCACCGGAGCCGGCCCUUCCCGCAGGCUCUCGUCCCGGCUUAUCCGGGUCAUCGGUGGCCCGGGGCCCGCCGGCGCGGAGCGUCCCUGGAAAGCUCCGAGGCACGUGGCGAAGGAGUGUUGUGAAGCGCUUAGGUGCUGGGUGCGGAGGUGGGAGAAAGGGCCGACGACGCUCCACACCCCGCUGCAGGCUCGGCCGCUCCCAGCCGGCGGGGAAAUCCCCGUCUAGAAAACGAAAUGGACAAAACUUCUUCAUGACGAACAUCUGGACCCUUACCCACGGUGUUCUAGGCACCACAGAGCCUUCCAGUGGGUAACCGACAAACCGAACGGCUCCCUCCACGUGGCGGCCCAUCCUCCAAGCUCAAACUCUGGCAAAAAAGCAAGCAGUGCCUGCAUAAACCUAGUGAAUAAAUCACCCAGAUUUUUUUUCAAAGAUUUUAUUAUUCCUUUUUCUCCCCAAAGCUCCCCAGUACAUGGUUAUGUAUUUCUAGUUGUG
RNAcentral lists this long non-coding RNA (860 nucleotides) under Equus caballus (horse). RNAcentral's name for it is "lncRNA (ENSECAG00000047345.1)". The record is from RNAcentral. Lineage: Eukaryota; Metazoa; Chordata; Mammalia; Perissodactyla; Equidae.